GCCACUCAAGAUCCAGUUCUGAGGGAAAAGUUUGCUGGAGAACCUGAGCAUGUUAUUAAUUUCUUCUUUAUGUUGGCAGAGGAGCUGAGGGAGAUAAUGUCUGAGCUUGGUUUCCAUACAGUCAAUGAGAUGGUUGGUCGAUCGGACAUGCUUGAAGUUGAUAAAGAAGUCAUCAAGAACAAUGAAAAGCUGGAAAAUAUUGAUCUCUCCCUGCUACUUAGACCUGCUGCUGACAUUCGGCCUGAAGCAGCUCAGUAUUGUGUCCAGAAGCAGGAUCAUGGCUUGGACAUGGCUUUGGAUAAAAAAUUGGUAAAACUAUCCAAGGCUGCUUUGGAAAAAAGUCUUCCUGUGUACAUUGAGACUCCAGUCUGCAAUGUGAAUCGUGCUGUUGGAACAAUGCUUAGUCAUGAAGUUACUAAAUGUUACCACUUGGCAGGGCUUCCAGCAGAUACUAUACAUAUCAAGCUUAAUGGAAGUGCAGGGCAGAGUCUGGG
RNAcentral lists this unclassified non-coding RNA (494 nucleotides) under Hevea brasiliensis (rubber tree). The record is from RNAcentral. Lineage: Eukaryota; Viridiplantae; Streptophyta; Magnoliopsida; Malpighiales; Euphorbiaceae.